Molecule: non-coding RNA, 496 nt
Organism: Odocoileus virginianus texanus
Lineage: Eukaryota; Metazoa; Chordata; Mammalia; Artiodactyla; Cervidae
Source: RefSeq, a predicted model, not a curated record
ACCCGAACCUUCUGCCUCGUCAGGGGAUUGGCUCCGGAGACAGAUGACACUUGUUCAGAGGUUAUUUUCAAAGCAGAGCCUCCUGAUUGCCCUCCUUCGGAGGUCCUGUGCUUCAGAAAUUGUGGUUUUUGAUCCGCGGAGAAACCCUGAACUCUGCUGUUGCUCCACUUCAUGUGGCUUUUCCAUCUGGCAGGGACCGAGCACCACCCCUUCCUCCCUUCCCAGCCCCACCUCUUUGGUUUCCCCUCCAGUCUCUGGUCCUGUCUCUCCGCAUGUUCUCACUCCACACUUCCCCGGAUCUGUGUUGGCUUCCUGCAGUAAGAAUGCCAGAAGCAGCUGAGCGUGGAGCCACCUCAGUAGAAAGAUGCUUUCACUCGCCUCUUUGUACUUGAAAUGCUGCCUCCUGCUCCAUCGCCCUUAAAUCUGCCAGGUGCUACCUCUCAGGUUCCCUUCUUGUAUCCUGAGACACACUUAUUAAAUUUUCAUCUGUAACUCA